GCGACCGGCGCACGGGUGAGUAACACGUAUCCAACCUGCCGUCUACUCUUGGAUAGCCUUCUGAAAGGAAGAUUAAUACAAGAUGGCAUCAUGAGUCCGCAUGUUCACAUGAUUAAAGGUAUUCCGGUAGACGAUGGGGAUGCGUUCCAUUAGAUAGUAGGCGGGGUAACGGCCCACCUAGUCUUCGAUGGAUAGGGGUUCUGAGAGGAAGGUCCCCCACAUUGGAACUGAGACACGGUCCAAACUCCUACGGGAGGCAGCAGUGAGGAAUAUUGGUCAAUGGGCGAGAGCCUGAACCAGCCAAGUAGCGUGAAGGAUGACUGCCCUAUGGGUUGUAAACUUCUUUUAUAAAGGAAUAAAGUCGGGUAUGGAUACCCGUUUGCAUGUACUUUAUGAAUAAGGAUCGGCUAACUCCGUGCCAGCAGCCGCGGUAAUACGGAGGAUCCGAGCGUUAUCCGGAUUUAUUGGGUUUAAAGGGAGCAUAGAUGGAUGUUUAAGUCAGUUGUGAAAGUUUGCGGCUCAACCGUAAAAUUGCAGUUGAUACUGGAUAUCUUGAGUGCAGUUGAGGCAGGCGGAAUUCGUGGUGUAGCGGUGAAAUGCUUAGAUAUCACGAAGAACUCCGAUUGCGAAGGCAGCCU
Molecule: ribosomal RNA, 638 nt
Filed under: uncultured bacterium
Lineage: Bacteria
Description: bacterial SSU rRNA
Rfam family: Bacterial small subunit ribosomal RNA
Source: RNAcentral